AGGAACGGCUUGCUCCUUUCAAAAACCUCGCGCUCCAGACCUCCUUAAAACCCUAAUCAUGGGGAAAUCGCUCGCCAGGAAGAAAGGGCUGAAGAGGUUGAAAACACAAAAAACGACCAAAGCUGUGGAGCAGCGAAUGAAGAAGUCUUUUAAUGACAAGCCAGAAAUGACCAAAGCUGCAAAGCAGCCAAGAAAGAAGUCUUUUGAUGAUAAAGUAGCGAAUGAUUCAUUGCUGACUUCAGGACAUUCUCUCAAAGAACUUUCAAAUAGCGUCGAUCAAGAGGAAGAUGUUUUUAGGGAACCUUCAGUGUUCGACAACUUAUUAAACGCACUGGAAUCUGGUAGUGAGAAACUUGCUACCUUGUCCAGAAAGAGGCAACGAGAACAAGAGGGUAGAAGUGAUAGCGAGGAAGAGGAGAUUGUCACAUUUGGGUCCACUAGUUUGUCUGAAGAGGAAGAUGUUGACACAGGUUCAGCUAGUGAAUCUAGUUUGGGAGAUGCUGAAGAAGAUGAUCUAGGAGAGCAUGGGCCUGCUGAUAUGUUGGAGCAGACUGAGGAAGAUGAAACUGGAGAUGAGGAUGGAACCUCUGAUGCCAGUGAUUCUCAGGACUUGGAGAACAGCAGCCAGACUGUUUUUGAUGAACCAGAGAGCACAAGCUCUUUUCAUCGUCACUUGGGGCAUAUCUUAACAAAUGAAGAGGUUGACGAAUUGAUGAAAAAGAAAUGGAAAUUUACAUGGGAGUUGCCUGCGAUUAGCAUGCCGAUGUCGAGGUGGGCUGGAACAGGAGAACAAGUUUCCAUGGAAACUAACAAUGAUCAGAAUUAUGGGCUUAUGCAAAAAUUGUAUAACCAUUGGCUUGAUAUUUAUAAAACUUCGGGAUUCCGUGACUUUGAUUCAUCCAGACAGAGAUUCUUCUUCUCACUAUGCAGUAGUUAUCGAGAUAUAUUGCAUUGCAACAAGAAACCAUUUUAUCUCAAAGGCAAUGAAGAGGAUUCAAGUAUCAUGGAUGCAUAUAUUAUGCAUGCUAUAAAUCAUGUUUAUAGGACGAGAGAUCUUGUGAUCAAGAAUGAUGCAAAACUGGCCAAGCAUCAAGAAGGUAAUAAAGAGGAGGUUCUUUGUGGUGGCACAUUCCUAGAUCAAGGUUUUACUCGCCCGAAGGUUCUGUUCAUAUUGCCCCUUGGAAGCAUUGCACUACGUGUUGUGAAGAGGCUAAUCCAACUUACUCCAAUAUCAAACAAAGCCAAUGUGGAGCACAUGGAUCGCUUUUCUGAGGAGUUUGGAACUGGUGAUGCUGAGGAUGAUGAUGAACAGAAACAUGGCAGUUCCAAAUGUCAGAACCCCACAAAACCUGCAGACUUCCAAAUUCUGUUCGGUGGAAACAACAAUGACCACUUCAUGCUGGGGAUAAAGUUCACAAAGAGAAGCAUAAAACUGUAUAGCGACUUUUAUUCUUCAGACAUCAUUGUUGCAUCUCCCCUUGGAUUAAUCACUAAAAUUGGGGAGGCUGAGGUUGAAAAGGAAAAAGAUGUAGAUUAUCUCUCCUCAAUAGAAGUAGUAAUUAUUGAUCAUACGGAUGUGAUAGCCAUGCAGAACUGGUCCCAUGUAAAUACUCUCGCUGAACAACUGAAUCGCAUGCCAUCUAAACAACAUGGAACUGAUAUGAUGCGCAUUAGGCAGUGGUAUUUGGGUGGGCAUGCACGCUUUUAUCGACAAACAAUUAUCUUAGGUUCUUUUCUUAAUCCAGACAUGAAUGCAUUAUUUAACAGAUUGUGUGUGAACUAUAAGGGAAAGGUCAAGUUGGUGACUGAGUAUAAAAGUGUUCUUCCUAAAAUAUUACUUGAAGUACGGCAGGUGUAUGAGCGUUUUCAUGCCCCUUCAAUUGCUGAUGUUGAUGAGGCCCGCCUUGAUUAUUUCUGUAAGAAGGUUUUCCCUAAGAUAAAGGAUUCAAUUGAGGGUGGGAUUAUGUUAUUCAUAAGUUCGUACUUCGAGUUUGUGCGGAUUCGAAAUUUUCUAAAAUCUCAGAAUGCUUCUUUCUGUUUGCUUGGGGAGUACACAAAACAAAGUGAUAUAUCUCGUGCACGGAUUUGGUUUUUUGAGGGCAAGCGUAAGAUCAUGCUUUACACUGAAAGGGCUCAUUUUUAUCAUAGAUACAAGAUUCGUGGAGUACAGAAUUUAAUUAUAUACUCUCUACCAGAGAGAAAGGAAUUCUACCCUGAGAUCAUCAAUAUGCUGGAUGCAUCAAAAAACAUGAUGUGCAAUGUGCUUUUUUCGCAUUUGGAUCUUAUCAGGCUAGAGAGAAUUGUUGGAACUUCUGCUGCGAAAAGGAUGCUGUCAUCAGAUAAGAACAUAUUUGUCUUCACUUGAAACCAAAAGUGCUGUUAGGAGUUUCUCGAAGAUGGACAAAAAUUGGUUGUAGUUCACGAGGUAGUACAUGCCAUGAUGUGAGUUCUUUCUUGUGUCAUCAUCGACCAAAGGAAUGAGAGAGAUAGAUAGGGAAACUUAUUUUCUAGUCCUGUGGGGGGCCCCUACCUACUUCAUUCUCUUCUCCAGGAUUUUGCAGCUUCCACGGCUGUAGGAGGUGAUCAUUGCUGGUGGCUGUGGUGGUGCAUUCAUUGGAGGCAGUGGUGUUGCGGCUGUGGGGUGCAGCGACAGGUUCCGGUGGUGCUGUUGCUCUUUAAGGCACCUCCUGCCGUGGAAAAAAAGAAAAGGAGAGGGGAGUGAUGAGGAUCGGGGAUUCUCACUUUUUGAUUAUUUGCAAGGUUUUGUUCAAAUCUGCCUCUGGAGUCCCAGAAAGAGAACCACCCUGCCAUUCAGUUUUGGUUUUUAUGCUCAUUUUCUGGUCAUCGGGUUUUAUGAUUUUCUCUAAACAAAGCAAAGCUAGCAGUUUUUUACCGCAUAUUUUGGUCUUGUGGCUUAAAGACAUUUAUUAGCAAUUGAGCUUCGCAUUCUUUUUACUAAAGAAAAAUAAUUUAUUUUGUUAAUUCCAUGCUUUUGAACCA
RNA transcript from Elaeis guineensis (African oil palm), 3000 nucleotides. It is a transcript of the gene named protein NUCLEOLAR FACTOR 1, with no coding region annotated. The record is from RefSeq and is a predicted model, not a curated record. NCBI's taxonomy places the organism in Eukaryota, Viridiplantae, Streptophyta, Magnoliopsida, Arecales, Arecaceae.